CUCGGAUUAAUGUUUCGCGUCAACGAUUUCUAUGUACUCUGAAGUUAACUUCAAAUUCAAUAUUACUGAGCCCUACAUAGCAUCAGCCCCUUAUAUGGUUUAUAACGAGUGACCCAGAGGUUGCGUCUGGCCUGUUGGCAGGAAAUUCACAAAUAAGAAUGAGCACAAGGCACAUCUAAUAAUAACUUUAUUCUGGCACAUGUAUAUAGUACUUAUAUGCAGUGAAGUUUUUGUACAAAAUCUGUAUGAAAGAAACUGGAAGUUUACAGAAAAUACAUGUCAUUUUAUAAAAAGUAAAAAACAAUGUUAAAUUCAGUUCUAUUUUGGUGAUGAUUGGAAACAGAACAAGCUCUAAUGUCUGGUUAAACAAGAAUGUAUGUAAUUCCGCACCCAUGGGAUUUCACAGUGAGGUACAUAAGACACACACACCACAUUAAUGAUGAGAAAAAUACGAAGUUCUAUAGAAGUGGAAGGGGAUCCAAUCUUAUACCACCUGUACUGUUCACAUGGUGGCCAAUCUUUGCAUUAUCUCCCCAGUGAUGAUAAAUCUAAAAAUAACUUAACACUGUCACAGCAGUAAGAUUUAAUUAUACCAGUUAACUAAU
Non-coding RNA from Zootermopsis nevadensis, 605 nucleotides. NCBI's taxonomy places the organism in Eukaryota, Metazoa, Arthropoda, Insecta, Blattodea, Termopsidae. The record is from RefSeq and is a predicted model, not a curated record.